Oncorhynchus keta (chum salmon) is the source of this 1138-nucleotide long non-coding RNA. RefSeq lists it as uncharacterized. NCBI's taxonomy places the organism in Eukaryota, Metazoa, Chordata, Actinopteri, Salmoniformes, Salmonidae. The transcript is spliced from 3 exons. The record is from RefSeq and is a predicted model, not a curated record.
CCUAACCAGCUGGUUAAUGUUCCCUUCACUAAGGUGUGAUAUCUCUCCUAACCAGCUGGUUAAUGUCACUAAGGUGUGAUAUCUCUCCUAACCAGCUGGUUAAUGUCACUAAGGUGUGAUAUCUCUCCUAACCAGCUGGUUAAUGUUCCCUUCACUAAGGUGUGAUAUCUCUCCUAACCAGCUGGUUAAUGUCACUAAGGUGUGAUAUCUCUCCUAACCAGCUGGUUAAUGUUCCCUUCACUAAGGUGUGAUAUCUCUCCUAACCAGCUGGUUAAUGUUCCCUUCACUAAGGUGUGAUAUCUCUCCUAACCAGCUGGUUAAUGUCACUAAGGUGUGAUAUCUCUCCUAACCAGCUGGUUAAUGUUCCCUUCACUAAGGUGUGAUAUCUCUCCUAACCAGCUGGUUAAUGUCACUAAGGUGUGAUAUCUCUCCUAACCAGCUGGUUAAUGUUCCCUUCACUAAGGUGUGAUAUCUCUCCUAACCAGCUGGUUAAUGUCACUAAGGUGUGAUAUCUCUCCUAACCAGCUGGUUAAUGUCACUAAGGUGUGAUAUCUCUCCUAACCAGCUGGUUAAUGUCACUAAGGUGUGAUAUCUCUCCUAACCAGCUGGUUAAUGUUCCCUUCACUAAGGUGUGAUAUCUCUCCUAACCAGCUGGUUAAUGUCACUAAGGUGUGAUAUCUCUCCUAACCAGCUGGUUAAUGUUCCCUCCACUAAGGUGUGAUAUCUCUCCUAACCAGCUGGUUAAUGUCACUAAGGUGUGAUAUCUCUCCUAACCAGCUGGUUAAUGUUCCCUUCACUAAGGUGUGAUAUCUCUCCUAACCAGCUGGUUAAUGUCACUAAGGUGUGAUAUCUCUCCUAACCAGCUGGUUAAUGUUCCCUUCACUAAGGUGUGAUAUCUCUCCUAACCAGCUGGUUAAUGUUCCCUCCUAACCAGCUGGUUAAUGUCACUAAGGUGUGAUAUCUCUCCUAACCAGCUGGUUAAUGUCACUAAGGUGUGAUAUCUCUCCUAACCAGCUGGUUAAUGUUCCCUUCACUAAGGUGUGAUAUCUCUCCUAACCAGCUGGUUAAUGUCACUAAGGUGUGAUAUCUCUCCUAACCAGCUGGUUAAUGUUCCCUUCACUAAGGUGUGAUAUCUCUC